AACGAACGCUGGCGGCAGGCUUAACACAUGCAAGUCGAACGACAUAGUGGCAGACGGGUGAGUAACGCGUGGGAACGUGCCCUUCACUACGGAAUAGCUUCUGGAAACGGAAGGUAAUACCGUAUACGCCCUUCGGGGAAAGAUUUAUCGGUGAAGGAUCGGCCCGCGUUAGAUUAGUUUGUUGGUGGGGUAAUGGCCUACCAAGACUACGAUCUAUAGCUGGUCUGAGAGGAUGAUCAGCCACACUGGGACUGAGACACGGCCCAGACUCCUACGGGAGGCAGCAGUGGGGAAUCUUGCACAAUGGGCGAAAGCCUGAUGCAGCCAUGCCGCGUGAAUGAUGAAGGCCUUAGGGUUGUAAAAUUCUUUCGCCAGGGAUGAUAAUGACAGUACCUGGU
Molecule: ribosomal RNA, 398 nt
Filed under: uncultured bacterium
Lineage: Bacteria
Description: bacterial SSU rRNA
Rfam family: Bacterial small subunit ribosomal RNA
Source: RNAcentral